Olea europaea var. sylvestris is the source of this 546-nucleotide long non-coding RNA. RefSeq lists it as uncharacterized. Lineage: Eukaryota; Viridiplantae; Streptophyta; Magnoliopsida; Lamiales; Oleaceae. The transcript is spliced from 2 exons. The record is from RefSeq and is a predicted model, not a curated record.
AAUUAAUUUUUUCUUUUGGAAACAGUGGAGCUUGGGAAGCGAUUUUUCCCUCGUUGUUCAGCAGUACUGAACAAGAUCAUGGAUGGUGAUGACUAUUCCGAGAUCACUCAACUAGGGAAUAAUGCUCUCGAAGGGUGUCCAUUAAAGAGGCGAAGGCGCAUGGAACUCGAAGAAGUAUUGUGCAAGGCAUUUACUGAGGAUAAAGAAGAAUUUGACCGUACGAUUAACAUGUCGUCAUCUUCAUCAUCAUCUGUGGGAAUGAUGAAACCCAAUGGGAAAUGAGGACUGGAUUGUUUUAGUUAUUUUGGAUUCCACUGAAUGUUCAGAAAGUAUGAGCUAUAAAAGAUGUAAGUAUGCAUUUUUUUUUUCCCAAUAAUUUCCUGAAGCUGGAAGAACGUGUAUUCUUCUGCAUCGUUCCAUUUCUAGCCUUUUUGAUAAUUAAUAAUUUAAAUAGCAGAUCGAAUUGAUUAUAGAAACGUGAAUUUGAUCAGUUGAUUUAUUAGUGAAGUUAAUUGAUUAUAGACGGUAAACAAGUCAAUAUUUUCA